CUUGUAUUUAUUUCUUUUUGCUUUAAAAUCUACACCUAGGGGUGUCCAAGCAUUUGGAGGAUUUGUCCAUUUAAAAAAAGAAGAGAAAAAGGAAACAGCACUGGUCUUAGUCAGUAUUGCACCCGAGCUCUCACAUUCCCAUGUUUUGGCCAUCUGACAACAGCUAAAAUAAACCUCCAGCUUCCAUUUAUCUCCUGCAGCACUCACCUAGCUCCCAACUUCCUUCCUCAGUCGUCUAAUCACUCGGUGCACUUUGUUCCAAACUCCUGCAGAGAUAAGUUAUGCAGCAGCUGCUGCAUUUUAACUUGAUAGUCUGCAUUCAAAACAGGAAGAAAAAAAAAUCUGAAAGACAGCACACACCUGGGCAGGCGUUUCUUUUUAGAGUGUGGCUGAAUAAGAUCUGUGCUCUGUAUAAUGGAUUCAUGGGCUACCUGUGUGUGCUGAUAAACUCCAGAACACACAGGAAACGCAGCGGCGGCAGACCGUCAACUCCAACCCGCUCGCAACGCCGACCGGCCUCCAUCUGUUGCCACUUUUGAAAAGAGCGGCUGAAAACACGUUUGUGUAAUUUGGCAUGUUCUUUCAAAUGGAAAUAAUCCGCCUGUUUUUCCUUCCGAGGGGAGGCUCCCCUCUGUCGUGGCUUUCAAGGCUCUUGGAAGUGAACCUGGGCUCCAGCCUAACCCAGUCCACCGGUUCUGAACAUGCUGUUGGAGGAAGACGGGGAAAUGGCAACACAACUGGCUGCCGUGGCUCCUAGACUGGAUGCCCGAGAAGGGGUGAUGAAAGGCUUCUGAAAGCCCUGACCCAUCGAGGCAUGGACUCUACUAGAUCCCUGAAGGUGUGCUGUGGUAUCUGCACCAAGAUGUUUGCGACAGAUCCUUUAAGUCCUGCUGCAUUAUCCUGCUGGAAGAGGCCACAGCCAUCAGUGAGCACUGUUUCCAUGAAAGGGUGUACAUGAUUUGCAACAAUGCUUAGGCAGGUGGUACGUGUCAAAGUAACAUAGAUGGCAGGACCCAAGGUUUCUCAGAAUUGCCCAAAGCAUCACGCUGCCUCUGCCAACUGCCUUCUUCCUGCAGUGCAUCCUGAGGCCGGGUGUCCUCCAGUAAGCAACACACCAGAAAAAGAAGAAAGAAAAUGUGAUUCAUCAGACCAGAAUACCUUAUUUUAUUGCUCUGUGGUCCAGUCCUGAUGCUCGCAUGCACAUUGUUGGUCAUUUUUAGUGGUGAAGGGGGUCAGCAUGGGCACCCUGACUGGUCUGCAGCUAUGCAGCCCCCUACACAAUAAAACUGUGAUGCACAGUGUAUUCUGACACUUUUCUAAGGGCAACUAAACCUCCUGUGUGGCUUUGGAUUACAAAUGGAAAGAGUCCCAUAAUAUAACCACAACAUUACAGGACACUGUGAUGACAGUGCAUCUCAAAGAAGGACAGUAUUUGAUGCAGU
Long non-coding RNA from Oreochromis niloticus (Nile tilapia), 1442 nucleotides. RefSeq lists it as uncharacterized. Lineage: Eukaryota; Metazoa; Chordata; Actinopteri; Cichliformes; Cichlidae. The transcript is spliced from 4 exons. The record is from RefSeq and is a predicted model, not a curated record.